AAGUAUACUUAAUAAUUUGUUAUAAUUUAGAUGAGGUAGUAAGGAUACUAUAGCUGCUGUGAUGCCUGGGGAGGAAGCAGGAGAGGAGGGUCACAGUUCUGCCAUGCCAGCUGUGGCUGCCUGUUGGCAGAGGAGAGGGGAGGUUUCUAGUGGCCUGAAGCCUUGUCUUGAUCCGAAGAAGUUCUCCUGUCCUAACUUUUUCUGGAGCUUAAAAAGACCUUCUUCUUGUUUCAGAGAUAAGACUGAAACACAUGGAUGCCCAGAUAGCUAGCAGAAUAGCUUCUCAUCACUGAUGUUUGUUUACUUAAUUGUCAAAACAGGGUUUGUAUAUGAAAGUUUGAUAUUAAAGUUAUUGAUACCACUGCUGAUUUUUUUUAGUUUUAAUAUUGAACGUGUUCUUUAGAAAUCCUUCUCUAUCAGUAAAUCUGCUCACAUAGAAGAUUCAUCCAACUUCCUUCCCUCCCUAGGGUUCAUCAUGAAAAAUAUUGUACAGUGCAGAAGCC
RNAcentral lists this long non-coding RNA (503 nucleotides) under Anas platyrhynchos platyrhynchos (common mallard). RNAcentral's name for it is "lncRNA (ENSAPLG00000029123.1)". Lineage: Eukaryota; Metazoa; Chordata; Aves; Anseriformes; Anatidae. The record is from RNAcentral.